CUGGAAUUAGGACGAGACCCUCCCCACAAAGAUUUGACUUGUACAAAAUAGCUAUGGCUCGACCAGAAGGGACCGAGCCGUAUACCUGAGAUGAGCCCGCCCUUUGCUUGCAUACCUACAACAGUGGACCUUUAGCUAUCAUGUGUGCUAGGCCAUACCAGCUCUCCUACUCCUAAAGUAAAAGCGGACGCAUCCAGUUCCAUUUUAUGUGCCAACCCUAUUCAUCUUGAACCGACCAGUUUUUCUGCUCCGGGAGCCCGGAGCAACAUCUUUUCUCCUCACCCGAGACUUUCAAAGGGAUAGAAGUAGCUCUAAUUUGUAGCUUAGAAUUUGUUUGGAUUUAAAUUUUUUUUAAGGCCC
This 360-nucleotide small RNA is filed under the name Histoplasma ohiense. RNAcentral describes it as "hypothetical lncRNA". The record is from RNAcentral. Lineage: Eukaryota; Fungi; Ascomycota; Eurotiomycetes; Onygenales; Ajellomycetaceae.